AUUUACUUUCUUUAUUUUGUUUUCUCAGCCUUUAAACAUCUAAAAAUGUCCUCCAAAAAGGUUUCCUGUGCUGUUUUGCUCCAUUUUACUGAACAAAAUAAGGCUGAGGUAGCACCAUCCUUGUGGUUAGAGUGAAAGAAUGUGGGUAUUGAGACCAAAAUAAACAAUGUGCCAUUCUGGACAAACAGCUGUGGACAAUAUAAGCUGUCAGAGUAGCCUAUUUUCUCACACAGACCUGAAGAUAAGAUUUCCAGUUUAAAAGUGAAGAAAAUGAAUCAUUAUUAACAGCAAUUAGGAGUAUUUCUUAGCUGAAACCCAGG
Paramisgurnus dabryanus is the source of this 320-nucleotide non-coding RNA. Lineage: Eukaryota; Metazoa; Chordata; Actinopteri; Cypriniformes; Cobitidae. The record is from RefSeq and is a predicted model, not a curated record.